CACCCUCUCCGUUCCCCAACGUGGGCCCCGGAGCUCUGGGGGGAGUUUGUUUGUUGAGUCUCGCUCUGUCGCCCAGGCUGGAGUCCAGUGCGAUCUCUGCUCACUGCAACCUACAUCUCCCGGAUUCAAGCAGUUCUCCUGCCUCAGCCUCCUGAAGCUGGAAUUACAGAGUCGGGAUCUCAUUUCAUCACCCGGGCUGGAGCGCAGUGUCACCAUGGUGAAUCAUUACAGCCUUGAACUCCUGGGCUCAAGUGGUCCUCCUGCUUCAGCCUCCUGAGUAGCUGGGAACUACAGGGGGACAUGAGACAUCAAUCAAGAUGAUGAACAUUGGUUCAGUCUGGAAAGGCGGGACAACUCGAAGCAAAGGCGGGAGACUCCCAGGUCAAAGGUAGACAGGAGGCAAACAGUGGCGUUCUUCUGAGUUUCUGAUUAGCCUCUCCAAAGCAGGCAAUCAGGUACGCAUUUAUCUCCGUGAGCAGAGGGGCGACUUUGAGCAGAAUGGGAGGCAGGUUGGCCCUAAGCAGUUCCCAGCUUCAGUCUUCCCUUUAGCUUAGUGAUUUGGGGGCCCCAAGGUUUCUUUCUUUCUUUCUUUUUUUUGAGAUGGAGUUUUGCUCUUGUUGCCUCUGAUGGGCACAAUUCCAUCCUCUUUUACUGUAUA
Callithrix jacchus (white-tufted-ear marmoset) is the source of this 658-nucleotide non-coding RNA. Lineage: Eukaryota; Metazoa; Chordata; Mammalia; Primates; Cebidae. The record is from RefSeq and is a predicted model, not a curated record.